GCCGGCGUCACACUGCUCGUAUCCGCUGUUGUAGGCGGCCAGAAGUUGCUCUGGAGUGGCAAUCUGAGCCCCGAUGUCCUCGCAGGCCUCUCUGGCCUGCUCGAAGGUGAAGGCGUAGCGGCUGGAUGCAUCACGAGUCGUGCUGAGAACCACUCAGAGAUGAUGUAUCAGCUCACAAACGACUGCGGUCAGAGAAUCCAUAAUCUAUUACUUUGUGUGUGAGACGAUCAUCCAUCACAGCUGCUGAGAAGACAUUCAGCCCAUCAGCUGACCUUGAUGUUCUGCCUUGAAAACGGCCUCCAGAGUGCACAUGUCGGCAAAAACAAUGACUGACAGGAAAUGAUUAAAGAGCAACCCCGCUGCCCUUAAAAAGUCAGAGGUCAUGUGAUUUAAUGGAGCGGCGGAUGUGAGGGGGCUCGUACCUGGCUCGUGGUGGGGGGUAGAGGACGACGGCAGGACGAGCAGACAGAUGGCACACAGCAGCACAGGUAGGAU
Molecule: long non-coding RNA, 495 nt
Organism: Acanthopagrus latus (yellowfin seabream)
Lineage: Eukaryota; Metazoa; Chordata; Actinopteri; Spariformes; Sparidae
Exons: 3
Source: RefSeq, a predicted model, not a curated record